This 497-nucleotide ribosomal RNA is filed under the name uncultured bacterium. RNAcentral describes it as "partial 16S ribosomal RNA". It matches the Rfam family "Bacterial small subunit ribosomal RNA", at positions 28 to 507 of the family's 1533-position model. The record is from RNAcentral.
GAUGAACGCUGGCGGCGUGCCUAAUACAUGCAAGUCGAGCGAACGGACGAGAAGCUUGCUCCUCUGACGUUAGCGGCGGACGGGUGAGUAACACGUGGAUAACCUACCUAUAAGACUGGGAUAACUUCGGGAAACCGGAGCUAAUACCGGCUAAUAUUUUAAACCGCAUGGUUCAAUAGUGAAAGACGGUCUUGCUGUCACUUAUAGAUGGAUCCGCGCUGCAUUAGCUAGUUGGUAAGGUAACGGCUUACCAAGGCAACGAUGCGUAGCCGACCUGAGAGGGUGAUCGGCCACACUGGAACUGAGACACGGUCCAGACUCCUACGGGAGGCAGCAGUAGGGAAUCUUCCGCAAUGGGCGAAAGCCUGACGGAGCAACGCCGCGUGAGUGAUGAAGGUCUUCGGAUCGUAAAACUCUGUUAUUAGGGAAGAACAAAUGUGUAAGUAACUAUGCACGUCUUGACGGUACCUAAUCAGAAAGCCACGGCUAACUACGUG